UAGGGAAUCUUCCGCAAUGGGCGAAAGCAUGACGGAGCAACGCCGCGUGAGUGAUGAAGGUCUUCGGAUCGUAAAACUCUGUUAUUAGGGAAGAACAAAUGUGUAAGUAACUAUGCACGUCUUGACGGUACCUAAUCAGAAAGCCACGGCUAACUACGUGCCAGCAGCCGCGGUAAUACGUAGGUGGCAAGCGUUAUCCGGAAUUAUUGGGCGUAAAGCGCGCGUAGGCGGUUUUUUAAGUCUGAUGUGAAAGCCCACGGCUCAACCGUGGAGGGUCAUUGGAAACUGGAAAACUUGAGUGCAGAAGAGGAAAGUGGAAUUCCAUGUGUAGCGGUGAAAUGCGCAGAGAUAUGGAGGAACACCAGUGGCGAAGGCGACUUUCUGGUCUGUAACUGACGCUGAUGUGCGAAAGCGUGGGGAUCAAACAGG
Molecule: ribosomal RNA, 429 nt
Filed under: Actinomycetes bacterium
Lineage: Bacteria; Bacillati; Actinomycetota; Actinomycetes
Description: Actinobacteria bacterium partial 16S ribosomal RNA
Rfam family: Bacterial small subunit ribosomal RNA
Source: RNAcentral